GGGCACUCUAAUGAGACUGCCGGUGAUAAACCGGAGGAAGGUGGGAUGACGUCAAGUCAUCAUGCCCCUUAUGACCUGGGCUACACACGUGCUACAAUGGACAGUACAACGAGAAGCGAUACUGUGAGGUGGAGCUAAUCCCAAAAGCCGGUCUCAGUUCGGAUUGAGGUCUGCAACUCGACCUCAUGAAGUCGGAGUCGCUAGUAAUCGCAGAUCAGCAACGCUGCGGUGAAUACGUUCCCGGGCCUUGUACACACCGCGGUCGACGCGGCCG
Molecule: ribosomal RNA, 274 nt
Filed under: uncultured Cryobacterium sp.
Lineage: Bacteria; Bacillati; Actinomycetota; Actinomycetes; Micrococcales; Microbacteriaceae
Description: partial 16S ribosomal RNA
Rfam family: Bacterial small subunit ribosomal RNA
Source: RNAcentral